RNAcentral lists this long non-coding RNA (371 nucleotides) under Olea europaea subsp. europaea. Lineage: Eukaryota; Viridiplantae; Streptophyta; Magnoliopsida; Lamiales; Oleaceae. The record is from RNAcentral.
CCGAACACUUAUUAAAAAUGAAUUUCAACUCAAAUAAAAGGAGAAUAUGUACCUUCUAGGCAAAACCUUUUCCAAAGCAUCGAACCCAUCUUAUGCCCACAUUUAUAUUUACUCCGUACCUCUUCCCCUCAACGUCUGACUCAUCACUGUUCUUCCUGAUCGAAGACGUGGAUGACGACGAUAAGAGCUACACCGAUCCUCCUCCUCCUCUGCCACUGCCGGGAACCUCUGGUCACCGGAAGCGGACUCCGGCGUGUUGCGGAUCAACGAUAUACACUCCAUCUACGUUGACAAAUCGUAGCCGUUCGAUUUAGUGAGAGAUGUGCGAUCAGUUAGUUGAAAGAAGCAAGUAGCCAAGUAGGAAAUGCCCC